GUUUUAAUAAUUUAAAUAAAAUAUUAGUCUUGUAAACUAAAAAUAAGAAACUCUUUUAAAACU
RNAcentral lists this transfer RNA (63 nucleotides) under Cucujoidea sp. 34 KM-2017. RNAcentral's name for it is "tRNA-Thr". The record is from RNAcentral. Lineage: Eukaryota; Metazoa; Arthropoda; Insecta; Coleoptera.